This 578-nucleotide ribosomal RNA is filed under the name uncultured bacterium. RNAcentral's name for it is "bacterial SSU rRNA". It matches the Rfam family "Bacterial small subunit ribosomal RNA", at positions 102 to 694 of the family's 1533-position model. The record is from RNAcentral.
ACGGGUGAGUAACACGUGGGUGAUCUGCCCUGCACUUCGGGAUAAGCCUGGGAAACUGGGUCUAAUACCGGAUAUGACCUCAGGUUGCAUGACUUGGGGUGGAAAGAUUUAUCGGUGCAGGAUGGGCCCGCGGCCUAUCAGCUUGUUGGUGGGGUAAUGGCCUACCAAGGCGACGACGGGUGGCCGACCUGAGAGGGUGACCGGCCACACUGGGACUGAGACACGGCCCAGACUCCUACGGGAGGCAGCAGUGGGGAAUAUUGCACAAUGGGCGAAAGCCUGAUGCAGCGACGCCGCGUGAGGGAUGACGGCCUUCGGGUUGUAAACCUCUUUCAGCAGGGACGAAGCGCAAGUGACGGUACCUGCAGAAGAAGCACCGGCUAACUACGUGCCAGCAGCCGCGGUAAUACGUAGGGUGCAAGCGUUGUCCGGAAUUACUGGGCGUAAAGAGUUCGUAGGCGGUUUGUCGCGUCGUUUGUGAAAACCAGCAGCUCAACUGCUGGCUUGCAGGCGAUACGGGCAGACUUGAGUACUGCAGGGGAGACUGGAAUUCCUGGUGUAGCGGUGAAAUGCGCAGA